This 687-nucleotide ribosomal RNA is filed under the name uncultured Bacteroidales bacterium. RNAcentral's name for it is "bacterial SSU rRNA". It matches the Rfam family "Bacterial small subunit ribosomal RNA", at positions 69 to 750 of the family's 1533-position model. The record is from RNAcentral. Lineage: Bacteria; Pseudomonadati; Bacteroidota; Bacteroidia; Bacteroidales.
UUCCAGUUUGCUUGCAAACUGGAGAUGGCGACCGGCGCACGGGUGAGUAACACGUAUCCAACCUGCCGAUAACUCGGGGAUAGCCUUUCGAAAGAAAGAUUAAUACCCGAUGGCAUAAUAGAACCGCAUGGUUUGAUUAUUAAAGAAUUUCGGUUAUCGAUGGGGGUGCGUUCCAUUAGGCAGUUGGUGGGGUAACGGCCCACCAAACCUUCGAUGGAUAGGGGUUCUGAGAGGAAGGUCCCCCACAUUGGAACUGAGACACGGUCCAAACUCCUACGGGAGGCAGCAGUGAGGAAUAUUGGUCAAUGGACGAGAGUCUGAACCAGCCAAGUAGCGUGAAGGAUGACUGCCCUAUGGGUUGUAAACUUCUUUUAUAUGGGAAUAAAGUGGUCCACGUGUGGAUUUUUGUAUGUACCAUAUGAAUAAGGAUCGGCUAACUCCGUGCCAGCAGCCGCGGUAAUACGGAGGAUCCGAGCGUUAUCCGGAUUUAUUGGGUUUAAAGGGAGCGUAGGUGGACAGUUAAGUCAGUUGUGAAAGUUUGCGGCUCAACCGUAAAAUUGCAGUUGAUACUGGCUGUCUUGAGUACAGUAGAGGUGGGCGGAAUUCGUGGUGUAGCGGUGAAAUGCUUAGAUAUCACGAAGAACUCCGAUUGCGAAGGCAGCUCACUGGACUGCAACUGACACUGAU